GACGAACGCUGGCGGCGUGCUUAACACAUGCAAGUCGAACGGAAAGGCCCUGCUUUUGUGGGGUGCUCGAGUGGCGAACGGGUGAGUAACCCGUGAGUAACCUGCCCUUGACUUUGGGAUAACUUCAGGAAACUGGGGCUAAUACCGGAUAGGAGCUCCUGCUGCAUGGUGGGGGUUGGAAAGUUUCGGCGGUUGGGGAUGGACUCGCGGCUUAUCAGCUUGUUGGUGGGGUAGUGGCUUACCAAGGCUUUGACGGGUAGCCGGCCUGAGAGGGUGACCGGCCACAUUGGGACUGAGAUACGGCCCAGACUCCUACGGGAGGCAGCGGUGGGGAGUAUUGCACAGUGGGCGGAAGCCUGAUGCAGCGACGCCGCGUGCGGGAUGACGGCCUUCGGGUUGUAAACCGCUUUCGCCUGUGACGAAGCGUGAGUGACGGUAAUGGGUAAAGAAGCACCGGCUAACUACGUG
Molecule: ribosomal RNA, 468 nt
Filed under: uncultured bacterium
Lineage: Bacteria
Description: partial 16S ribosomal RNA
Rfam family: Bacterial small subunit ribosomal RNA
Source: RNAcentral